This 253-nucleotide ribosomal RNA is filed under the name uncultured bacterium. RNAcentral's name for it is "partial 16S ribosomal RNA". It matches the Rfam family "Bacterial small subunit ribosomal RNA", at positions 524 to 776 of the family's 1533-position model. RNAcentral also lists the same sequence under 2 other names. The record is from RNAcentral.
GACGAACCGUGCGAACGUUGUUCGGAAUCACUGGGCUUAAAGGGCGCGUAGGCGGGUCGCCAAGUUUGGGGUGAAAUCCUCCCGCUCAACGGGAGAACGGCCUUGAAUACUGGCGAUCUCGAGGGGGAUAGGGGCAUGCGGAACUACGGGUGGAGCGGUGAAAUGCGUUGAUAUCCGUAGGAACUCCGGUGGCGAAGGCGGCGUGCUGGAUCCCUUCUGACGCUGAGGCGCGAAAGCCAGGGGAGCAAACGGG